Molecule: non-coding RNA, 214 nt
Organism: Trachipleistophora hominis
Lineage: Eukaryota; Fungi; Microsporidia; Pleistophoridae
Rfam family: Nuclear RNase P
About the family: Ribonuclease P (RNase P) is a ubiquitous endoribonuclease, found in archaea, bacteria and eukarya as well as chloroplasts and mitochondria. Its best characterised activity is the generation of mature 5'-ends of tRNAs by cleaving the 5'-leader elements of precursor-tRNAs. Cellular RNase Ps are ribonucleoproteins.
Source: Rfam
CGUUCAAGAAGCUUUCGUUUAGGGGCAUUGUCCUUAGGAAGGUCUGAGAACACGCUAGCUGAGAUGGCAAGGGGCUAACGUCCUUAACCGGUCUAACAGAAAUGUUCGCAUCCGCAAGGUUGCAUGGAAAGUACCGGUGUGUUACGCUGGUAGUCCAAUACGAAAGGCGGUGGUUGGUCCCACCGUAACGGAAUUCAGACUACUCUCUUGAACG